RNAcentral lists this transfer RNA (67 nucleotides) under Cryptocephalus celtibericus. RNAcentral describes it as "tRNA-Pro". The record is from RNAcentral. Lineage: Eukaryota; Metazoa; Arthropoda; Insecta; Coleoptera; Chrysomelidae.
CAGGGGAUAGUUUAAAUAAAAUAUUAGUUUUGGAGAUUAAUGAAGAGAUAAAUAGUCUUUCCCUUGA